RNAcentral lists this ribosomal RNA (406 nucleotides) under uncultured bacterium. RNAcentral describes it as "partial 16S ribosomal RNA". It matches the Rfam family "Bacterial small subunit ribosomal RNA", at positions 29 to 526 of the family's 1533-position model. The record is from RNAcentral.
AUUGAACGCUGGCGGCAGGCCUAACACAUGCAAGUCGAGCGAGCGGCGGACGGGUGAGUAAUGUCUGGGAAACUGCCUGAUGGAGGGGGAUAACUACUGGAAACGGUAGCUAAUACCGCAUACCAUCAGAUGUGCCCAGAUGGGAUUAGCUAGUAGGUGGGGUAACGGCUCACCUAGGCGACGAUCCCUAGCUGGUCUGAGAGGAUGACCAGCCACACUGGAAUGGAUACACGGGCCAGACUCUUCCGGGCGGCAGCAGGGGGGAAUAUUGCACAAUGGGCGCAAUCCUGAGGCAGCCAUGCCGCGUGGGGGAAGAAGGCCUUCGGGUUGUAAAGCACUGUCAGCGGGGCGGCGUUACCCGCAGAAGAAGCACCGGCUAACUCCGUGCCAGCAGCCGCGGUAAUUC